AGCACCUGGCUCAAUGGUAGAGCGUUCGACUCAAAUACCAAAAAUCGCGGGUUCAAUUCCCAGGUGUUA
This 69-nucleotide transfer RNA is filed under the name Schistocephalus solidus. It matches the Rfam family "tRNA". From Rfam's summary of the family: Transfer RNA (tRNA) molecules are approximately 80 nucleotides in length. Their secondary structure includes four short double-helical elements and three loops (D, anti-codon, and T loops). Lineage: Eukaryota; Metazoa; Platyhelminthes; Cestoda; Diphyllobothriidea; Diphyllobothriidae. The record is from Rfam by way of RNAcentral.